AGCUUUUCGAAUCCGUGCUGAGAUUUCGUCCGAUACCAGCCCAUUAGGGCUGAUCAGACAUAAGUAAAGCG
RNAcentral lists this microRNA precursor (71 nucleotides) under Schistosoma mattheei. RNAcentral describes it as "mir-3492 microRNA precursor family". The record is from Rfam by way of RNAcentral. Lineage: Eukaryota; Metazoa; Platyhelminthes; Trematoda; Strigeidida; Schistosomatidae.